UUCAACAAUGGAUCUCUUGGCUCUCGCAUCGAUGAAGAACGCAGCGAAAUGCGAUAAGUAAUGUGAAUUGCAGAAUUCAGUGAAUCAUCGAAUGUUUGAACGCAUCUUGCGCUCCUUGGUAUUCCUUGGAGCAUGCCUGUUUGAGUGUCAUUAAAUUGUCA
This 161-nucleotide ribosomal RNA is filed under the name Amanita oberwinkleriana. RNAcentral describes it as "5.8S ribosomal RNA". It matches the Rfam family "5.8S ribosomal RNA". From Rfam's summary of the family: 5.8S ribosomal RNA (5.8S rRNA) is a component of the large subunit of the eukaryotic ribosome. Lineage: Eukaryota; Fungi; Basidiomycota; Agaricomycetes; Agaricales; Amanitaceae. The record is from RNAcentral.